GGUGAGGUGGGUGAGAGGCUGAAACCACCAGUUUGCUAAACUGGCGUACGGGAAACUGUACCGCGGGUUCGAAUCCCGCCCUCACCGCCA
RNAcentral lists this transfer RNA (90 nucleotides) under Cryomorphaceae bacterium BACL7 MAG-120910-bin2. Its description in RNAcentral is "tRNA-Ser". It matches the Rfam family "tRNA". From Rfam's summary of the family: Transfer RNA (tRNA) molecules are approximately 80 nucleotides in length. The record is from RNAcentral. Lineage: Bacteria; Pseudomonadati; Bacteroidota; Flavobacteriia; Flavobacteriales; Cryomorphaceae. RNAcentral also lists the same sequence under 4 other names.